Molecule: non-coding RNA, 163 nt
Organism: Rhinocladiella mackenziei CBS 650.93
Lineage: Eukaryota; Fungi; Ascomycota; Eurotiomycetes; Chaetothyriales; Herpotrichiellaceae
Source: the annotation of a RefSeq genome assembly
GCUAUGGCCGAGUGGUUAAGGCGUGUGACUAGAACGCUGGCCGCGUAGAAGUGGCUCACCUUCUCUGCUAUCACAUGGGUACUUAUUAAUUGUUUCGAAUUGUUCACACAGUACUAAUAUCCUCUCAGGUUCGCCCGCACAGGUUCAAGUCCUGUUGGUGUCG